UGGACCUACGGGGCGCAGCAGUGGGGAAUAUUGGGCAAUGGGCGCAAGCCUGACCCAGCAACGCCGCGUGAAGGAAGAAGGCUUUCGGGUUGUAAACUUCUUUUCUCAGGGACGAAGCAAGUGACGGUACCUGAGGAAUAAGCCACGGCUAACUACGUGCCAGCAGCCGCGGUAAUACGUAGGUGGCAAGCGUUAUCCGGAUUUACUGGGUGUAAAGGGUGCGUAGGCGGCUUUAUAAGUCAGAAGUGAAAUCCAUGGGCUUAACCCAUGAACCGCUUUUGAAACUGUAGAGCUUGAGUGGAGUA
RNAcentral lists this ribosomal RNA (305 nucleotides) under uncultured bacterium. RNAcentral's name for it is "bacterial SSU rRNA". It matches the Rfam family "Bacterial small subunit ribosomal RNA", at positions 334 to 653 of the family's 1533-position model. The record is from RNAcentral.